This 916-nucleotide long non-coding RNA is filed under the name Gallus gallus (chicken). RNAcentral describes it as "lncRNA (ENSGALG00010019405.1)". Lineage: Eukaryota; Metazoa; Chordata; Aves; Galliformes; Phasianidae. The record is from RNAcentral.
CGCUGUCCCAGUACAAGGCAGCAGGGAGGAGCUGCUCCUUGGGCUCCUCGUGUUUUUUAGGGUAGGUAUGGAGUGAGGCGACCUGGAGGACUCUGAGAGAAGCAGCGUGGCUACACUGAGAGAGAUUCUGGUGCCUCGAUGGAGCUCAGCUCAGAGAAGCCUCCGAAACUCCAGGAGCCCCGAAGCGGUGUGGAAGGGCCAGGAGCAGAACCACCUUUCUCUUCCUUUCAGAUGAUUUUAAAGAUUCUCCCGGACAGAAUCUGCCACCCCCAAAUGAAGUUCAGACUUCACCUGAGGCUCUGCUGUCUGAGUUACGGCCAGAACGCAAGAGGUUCAUUGGGAGAAGCUUUCCCUGAUAUCCAACCUGAACCUCCCCCGGUGCAUCCUGAGGCCGUCACCUCUCAUCCUACUGCUGUUACUCGGGAGAAGAGGCCGACCCUCACCUCACUACAAGCUCAUUUCUGGGAGCUGGAGAGAGCAAAGCAUAGAAUCACAGAAUUGCUCAGGUUGGAAAAGACCUUCGAGAUCAUUGAGUCCAAGCUCAACCCAACCAUACCACCCUAACCCGAACAACCCGCUGCUAAAUGAUGUCCCUGAGCACCACAUCCAGAUGGUUUGCAUCCAGAAGAUCCAGGUUAAUGCCCUGUUGGCCUUUGCAUGUGGUGCAAACGGGGAGUUUAACUCGUAUUUAAGGCUCUGGAGGCCUUUGGUUUGGGCAGCAGUUGAAUCCGAGGUUUCAUGGCAGUAGCGGUGUUCGAUGCUUUGUUAGGGCAAUCAUUUCACGUGGCUGGAGGAAUUUUGGGGCAGUGUAAUUGCUGGGCGGUGUGUGAGGUGGAAGAACAGCCAAAGAGGGACGGCACUGUGCUGACUGCGGCUGCUGGCUCACCUCCCGCUUGGUAAGCCCACGGAUAACGAC